UGCCAACCUGGGAGAAUACUGAGAAAUAGUAUUGGGUGAAUACAUGCAAAGGACGGUAGGCAUUUACAAAAGCUUGUAUUCAUCCUAAGCAAACUAGUGCUACUCUAAGUACUAGCUGUGCUUCUGAAUGGACAACACAUCCUAGUAAUGGAAAAAACAGUUGAAAGAAGGGAAUCUUUUUCUAUGACAAAGGACAUUGAAUCUAACAGCCCACAUGAACCCCUGGCCUGUGGCCUAUAUCCAGCAGAGACAAGUGGGCUGAAAACUAGUAUGGAGAUUCCUCACAAAACUGAAACUAGAAAUUCUACUUGAUCCAGCUAUUCCCCUUCUAGAUGUCUUCGCAAAGAGUCAAAGACAUUACAGUGACCCAUGCAGACCCAUGUAUACAGCAACACAAUUCAUAAUAGCUAAACAUUGGAAGUAGCCCAUAUGUCCAUCAACAGAAGAAUAGAUAAAUUAAAUGUGGUUUUUAAACACAAUUGAGUACUACUCUACCAUAAGGAAUGAUAAACUUGAGUCAUUUGUAAAAAAAAAAUUAAAGCAUCUUGAGACCAUAAUGUUCAGUGAGAUAAAUCAGACACAUAAGCUUACAUAUCACAUGGAUUUUUUUUUUGUAUGAGAAACCCAAAGUAUAAAUAAAGAGCAAAAUAAAGAUAGAUGAUAGGAAGAAGAGGGAUAAAUCUUUCUAAACAGGGAAAAGAUCAAAAGACGGAGAGGGUGGGGUGGGAGGAGAGGGAAAGGGGAUGAUAAAAAGGAAGUGUAAGAUGUGUUACGUACCUGUACCAAUUGCUCCCCAGGUCUGUAAACUUUAUGCACUACCAACAUGUACUAAUGAAAAUAAAUAAUAAACCAAAGGUAAAUACAAACCUUGAGACCCAUUCUGGAAACAGCAGGCUGAUGUGGGUGAGAGAACAGAGAUGGAAAGAAAAAAACUAACCAAAGGCUUAGCUUGUGAAGAUGCUUAUUUUUUCUGCUAUUUUGUGGAUGGAAAAGUUUUCUGGUGUCCUCUUGUGUUAUUGUCUCUAAUUUAUUACUUCCGGAAACAUAUGAUUUAAUUUCUAUUUAUUAUAAUAGUAAAAGAAAAAACAAAAAGCCACAAGUAACAAGAACAUCACAAGUGUCUCCAUAUCACCUCCAGAUGUUGUCAUAUUCCCAUCCUCCCCCUCUGUGAUUCUCUUGCUUUGCUUCAUUUUGUUCCUUAGUUUGGCAAAUGCAAGACUAAGGCAUGAAGCACCACCCUCAACCCCAUCCUCCAGGUGUUUCUUAAGCAUCCGCAUAUUGGGGAAGACCUGGUCGCAGCCCAUGCACCUGAAGCCACUGUACAGGUCCUCCAGCACCGAAUCCCGGGCCAGAUUCUCAGCCUCUUCCCUUUCCUCUUGCCCUUCCCCGGGCAGGCCAUUUUCACUGUCAGUUAGGACAUCUCUUAGGCACACAGAAGAGAGGCUGGCUUUUGAAGGGAUCUUCUCAGGAAAGGUCAUUCUUGCUAUUCUUGUCAUCUUUGUGGGGGGCUCCAAAUCAUCUUCUGUAUCCCCCAAGGAAGCCGUACCCCUUUUCAUUGGGACAGGCUGAUAGUAGACAUUCAGGACUCUUUUCUUUUCAGUAGAUGUUGCAGACUCUAGGGGGUUAUUGGCCAAGGAGGAAGGUAAAUGAGAAUGUGCCAUGGAGGAGAAAUUCUCCUUCUCCAUCAAAUCUUGAUUUAAAAGCCUCUUGCAGGAUCCAGGACCUGGAACAUAUUGAGGUAGUAUGUUGGUAUUUGGAAAAGAAAGCUUCAAAAAUAAUGAGAUAAGAUGGCCAUGAAAAUGUCCUGGGGUGGGGUCAUAUUUUGUGUGUGGUUUGUGUCAUGUAAUGUACAUGCUUUGUAAUCCUAUGUGGAAAAUGAGUUGUGUAAGGCAACUACUAUAAAUUAUAUACGUACAUACACACACGUAUAUAGACAUGUACAUGUGUGUGUGUAUACAUACAUAUACAGAGUCUGCCAAAAAAAAAAUAGUAUGUUUUUCAAUUACCCAAAUAUGGGGCACCAUAGAGGAUGCUGUAGAUUGCAGGAAAUCCACUACAUUGUCAGCUCUUAGGGAAGAAAUUGAAAACAAGUAUGUAGCAAUCUCAAUGACCAAGGUCACCCAAGCAGCAGUUCUCUGCUAAUGGGCUCAACUUUGAGCACCUCUUGUAAUUGUAGUGCCCAAAGAUAACUUGCAUUAAUCUCAUUAUAUCUCAAUAAAUGCAGUAUUAAAAUAUUUAUACAAGUUUUUCUUUUCCUGAAGUGUGUAUACAUUUUUGGGGCAGAGUCUGUAUAUGUAUGUAUACAGACAUAUAUUCUGGUAUACCUUUGGUGACUGUCUGGUACUGGCAAAAGCAGAUAGUGCUGUGUCUGUGUGCGUGUGUGUGUCUGAUACUGUAUGAGAUAGCACAUGUGAUUUCAUUGUGAAUAUUGGUAGAUGGUGUGACAAUAAAUAGCCUUACAUGUUGGAGGAAGUGUUUAUGACCUCAGCACAUGCAGCUCUGUGAAGGGCUGAAGGCGUGGUGGAAGAAGUGACUUUUGUGUGAGAACAUAUACAUAUUAGAAGGGCACAAGAGUUUUCUAGUAUUUUGUCUACUAGUAGCAUUAUGAAAUUAAAACAGGUUAUCCAUGUGAGGUAAUAGUUUAUCUGUGUCAGGUGAUAUGAAGUUAUUUACAGGAUUAAGGUGUAAAAUGGUGGGUGAGUCUGAGAAUGACUUCUGGAAUGUGGGCAUAAGGCUGUACCUAUGUAACGCUGAUACUGGGAAAAUAGGGAGAGAGGAGAUAUUUAUGAGAAAGAUAAAACGGAGGAGAAAUGGUCUGUACUUAGUACAAAGGAGUGUGACAUGUGAGUGUGAGCUGAGUUUAUACACUGAUCUGAGGGGGAAGACUCUGAUCCCACCUCCUGCACAUCACAUAGGCCACUGCCUCACCCACAGUGGCCCCAGUGUUCACAUGAAAAUGUGUGCUGAGGAACUCUGUCCUCCUCUAGAAGGCAGAUUUCCUAUCUGCCCCUCCCCAGAGGAGUCAGUGUUCAUCCCUCUUCCCUGAAGACCUUUCAUGUAUGUAAAGGAAGUGAAUGGGGUUGGGUAGUUUUUCCCUUACCCCUUCACCCUUCAUUUUUCAAAUAAACUUUUGGGAGUUAGGAAAAUGAACAUGGUGAGUUUUGGAAACAGAACCUGGGCAGUUUUGGAGAAAAGUGGUCAUUUAUUCAGUUGUUGAACAAACAGGGUCUGCUCCACCUCUGUUCUACCUCAGACCUUUGAGAAUGAACUUGUCUGUAAAAUGGGAGCAGAGUAAUCAAGAGAUUAUACCUGAAAUAGCUGAUUCCAUUCUGCUCACCCUCUGCUAUUCUCCAAAGCCAUCUUGUCCAGCGUCCUCUCCCAGGAAUACUUACUGCGUCUUGAACAGUGUUGUCUUACUUGGGCAGGAACUGCUGCACUUCAGUCCUCUGUGUUUCUACAGGGAUCCUGCCCUCAAGGUGCCUUAUGCCCCUCAAACUUGGUACUGUUUCAUAUUGCUUGCCGCCUUCUACAUAUUUCAUACUUUGUCUACAUCUUACUUCCUAGAGAUUCUCAAUCUCAAACAAAAGAUUUGGUAAAUUUUUGUGUUUGAAGAAAUUAAAUAUUCAUGAUCUUCUUAUGUUCCUGUUCCUGUUCAUAAUGCCCAGCAAAGUAUAAUCAAUGAAUAAAUUUUUUCUCCAUGUAAUGGAAUAUAGGGAGUAAUGACAAUAUACACUGUAAUCAUAUGCCACAUGGAUAACAUUCAUAAAUAUAAGGAUGAGCAAAAAUGAUCCAGACAAAAAGUAUAUAUUUUGCACUUCUAUUUACACAAAUUUAUCUCCUGACUGGCUCCUGGCUUCUAAGGUCAUCUAGAAGUCAGAGUAAUUAUUACUAUUUGCAUGGUAGGGUCAAAAA
This 3912-nucleotide long non-coding RNA is filed under the name Heterocephalus glaber (naked mole-rat). Its description in RNAcentral is "lncRNA (ENSHGLG00100046758.1)". The record is from RNAcentral. Lineage: Eukaryota; Metazoa; Chordata; Mammalia; Rodentia; Bathyergidae.